GCGACCCCAGGUCAGGUGGGACCACCCGCUGAGUUUAA
RNAcentral lists this ribosomal RNA (38 nucleotides) under Ptelea crenulata. RNAcentral's name for it is "partial 26S ribosomal RNA". Lineage: Eukaryota; Viridiplantae; Streptophyta; Magnoliopsida; Sapindales; Rutaceae. The record is from RNAcentral.